RNAcentral lists this ribosomal RNA (929 nucleotides) under Phytophthora cinnamomi var. parvispora. RNAcentral's name for it is "eukaryotic LSU rRNA". The stretch from base 292 to 446 matches the Rfam family "5.8S ribosomal RNA". The record is from RNAcentral. Lineage: Eukaryota; Oomycota; Peronosporomycetes; Peronosporales; Peronosporaceae.
UUUUGAAGGUGAAAAGUGUAACAAGGUUUCCGUAGGUGAACCUGCGGAAGGAUCAUUACCACACCUAAAAAUCUUUCCACGUGAACCGUAUCAACCCCCUUCGUUGGGGGCCUGCUCUGGGCGGCGGCUGCCGAUGUCAAAGUCGGCGGCUGCUGCUGCGUGGCGGGCCCUAUCACUGGCGAGCGUUUGGGUCCCUCUCGGGGGAACUGAGCUAGUAGCCCCUAUUUUAAACCCAUUCUGUAAUACUGAACAUACUGUGGGGACGAAAGUCUCUGCUUUUAACUAGAUAGCAACUUUCAGCAGUGGAUGUCUAGGCUCGCACAUCGAUGAAGAACGCUGCGAACUGCGAUACGUAAUGCGAAUUGCAGGAUUCAGUGAGUCAUCGAAAUUUUGAACGCAUAUUGCACUUCCGGGUUAGUCCUGGGAGUAUGCCUGUAUCAGUGUCCGUACAUCAAACUUGGCUCUCUUCCUUCCGUGUAGUCGGUGGAUGGAGGCGCCAGACGUGAGGUGUCUUGCGGGCGGCCUUCGGGCUGUCUGUGAGUCCCUUGAAAUGUACUGAACUGUACUUCUCUUUGCUCGAAAAGCGUGACGUUGCUGGUUGUGGAGGCUGCCUGUAUGGCCAGUCGGCGACCGGUUUGUCUGCUGCGGCGUUUAAUGGAGGAGUGUUCGAUUCGCGGUAUGGUUGGCUUCGGCUGAACAAAGCGCUUAUUGGAUGUUCUUCCUGCUGUGGCGGUACGGAUCGGUGAACCGUAGCUGUGCAAGGCUUGGCGUUUGAACCGGCGGUGUUGUGGCGAAGUAGAGUGGCGGCUUCGGCUGUCGAGGGUCGAUCCAUUUGGGAACUCUGUGUCUUUUCUUGCGGCGCACGUUUGUGUGGUUGCGGGGGAUGGCAUCUCAAUUGGACCUGAUAUCAGGCAAGAUUACCCGCUGAA